This 304-nucleotide ribosomal RNA is filed under the name uncultured bacterium. RNAcentral describes it as "bacterial SSU rRNA". It matches the Rfam family "Bacterial small subunit ribosomal RNA", at positions 29 to 363 of the family's 1533-position model. The record is from RNAcentral.
AGCGAACGCUGGCGGCAGGCCUAACACAUGCAAGUCGAACGGAUCCUUCGGGAUUAGUGGCGGACGGGUGAGUAACACGUGGGAACGUGCCCUUUGGUUCGGAACAACUCAGGGAAACUUGAGCUAAUACCGGAUGUGCCCUUGGGGAAGAUUUAUCGCCAUUGGAGCGGCCCGCGUCUGAUUAGCUAGUUGGUGGGGUAAAGGCCCACCAAGGCGACGAUCAGUAGCUGGUCUGAGAGGAUGAUCAGCCACAUUGGGGACUGAGACACGGCCCAAACUCCUACGGGAGGCAGCAGUGGGAAUC